UAAAUGGCACAAGAGAAAAGCACAUCCUCGUCGCAAGCAAACAUCGGCAUAUUCUGAUGGGGUGUCGCCGCUUCCUAAUCUUUAAGACGUCGGGCCACCAUGUGCAGAUGGUCAUGUGUUAGUCAGACGUGACGGGACGGGACGGUGGAACGGACAUAGAAACAUGGAGCGUAAAAAGAAUACACACCGCGGUUGGAGUCAAAUAAUUUUCAGAUUAGUCAGUUGACUACAUAGGAAAAACCAACAAAAAUAUAUAAAUAAAU
This is a long non-coding RNA of Hippocampus comes (tiger tail seahorse), 263 nucleotides long. RefSeq lists it as uncharacterized. NCBI's taxonomy places the organism in Eukaryota, Metazoa, Chordata, Actinopteri, Syngnathiformes, Syngnathidae. The record is from RefSeq and is a predicted model, not a curated record. The transcript is spliced from 2 exons.